UGGAAACUUUGUGUCAGGCUGUUACUUGCAGCACAUAAAUGCCCUGUGCUAUUGUCCUGGGGACAUUCCUACACUGGACAGCUCAUUGCAAGGCUAUAUCUCUGUUUCAAGUAUCAGAUCCUCUUCAAUGGCAUCAGCCACAUCCCAUAGGGAGGUCAUUUCAGUGCACGUGGGGCAGGCCGGAGUGCAGAUUGGCAAUGCAUGCUGGGAGUUGUACUGCCUGGAACAUGGGAUCCUGCCAGAUGGGCGACUGCUCACUGACAUAAUCAGUGAUGAGGAUGAAUCUUUCAGCACCUUCUUCAAUGAGACCAGCGGGGGGAAAUAUGUUCCGCAUGCCGUGUUUGUAGAUCUGGAGCCAACUGUCAUAGAUGAGGUCCGCAAAGGAGCCUAUCGGAAGCUUUUCCACCCUGAACAGCUCAUUUCAGGCAAGGAAGACGCUGCCAAUAAUUAUGCCCGUGGCCAUUACACCAUCGGCAAAGAGAUUAUUGACUCAGUGCUGGAAAGAAUACGCAAGAUGGCAGAUCAGUGCAAUGCACUUCAGGGCUUCCUUAUCUUCCACAGCUUUGGAGGAGGCACUGGUUCGGGUUUCUCUUCCCUACUAAUGGAACGUCUCUCUGUUGAAUACGGCAGAAAGUCAAAGCUGGAAUUCUCCAUUUACCCAGCUCCUAAAAUGUCCACAGCUGUGGUGGAACCCUAUAACUCUGUCCUCACCACCCAUACAACCCUGGAGCACUCUGACUGUGCUUUCCUUGUGGACAAUGAAGCCAUUUAUGACAUUUGUCAAAGGAACCUUGACAUUGAAUGUCCAACUCACACAAACCUGAACCGCCUGAUUGCCCAGAUUGUGUCCUCUAUCACGGCUUCCCUCAGAUUUGAUGGAGCUCUGAAUGUGGACCUGGCAGAAUUCCAAACCAACUUGGUUCCAUUCCCUCGUAUCCAUUUCCCUGUGGUCUCCUAUGCUCCAGUUAUCUCUGCUGAGAGAGCUUACCAUGAGAAGCUUUCCAUAGCUGAGAUAACAAAUGCUUGCUUUGAGCCAACCAAUCAGAUGGUGAAAUGUAACCCACGAAAUGGUAAAUAUAUGGCUUGUUGUAUGCUCUACCGUGGUGAUGUGGUUCCCAAAGAUGUCAAUGUUGCCAUUGCAAGCAUCAAGUCCAGGCGCACCAUCCAGUUUGUGGACUGGUGUCCAACUGGUUUCAAGGUUGGUAUCAAUUACCAGCCACCAACUGUGGUUCCAGGAGGAGACCAAGCCCAGAUGCAGCGUGCUGUGUGCAUGUUAAGUAACACCACUGCUAUUGCUGAAGCCUGGGCUCACCUGGAUCACAAGUUUGAUCUCAUGUAUGCCAAGCGUGCCUUUGUGCACUGGUAUGUAGGGGAGGGAAUGGAGGAAGGGGAGUUCUCCGAGGCCCGUGAGGAUAUGGCUGCCCUGGAGAAGGAUUAUGAUGAGAUCGCUUGUGACUACGUGGAGGAAGAGGAUGGGGAAGAAGUCUAAUUCACUAAGUCAGAAUAAUAUUACUCAUAUUAUUAUUAAUUGUUGGUUAGAGCAAUAAAGCAAUAUGGCAUUUAGAAUUUUAGACCAUUUAGACCAUGGACAGCCUCCUUAUUAAGCACCACGCUGAUGUCUGAUUAACUCUGUUGACUGUUUCCUAAUAAAGAGUUAUUGUUUGA
Molecule: RNA transcript, 1665 nt
Organism: Xenopus laevis (African clawed frog)
Lineage: Eukaryota; Metazoa; Chordata; Amphibia; Anura; Pipidae
Gene: tuba1l.L
Gene name: tubulin alpha 1 like L homeolog
Exons: 4
Source: RefSeq, a predicted model, not a curated record